GGCGCCGCGCCGCCUGCGCUCCGGGCGCGCAGGGCCGGGCGACGGGCCGGCUCGGCUCCUCCGCGGCGGGUCUGGCUCGGCGCGCCGGCCGCGCUCGGGCUCAGGUGCCCCUGCCCGCGGACCGUCUCUCUUCUCCGGGCUCGCGUCCCCUCCGCGGGCUCCGCCGGCGACCGGCCGGCUCCGAGGCUCGCGGCCGGAGCGGAGCGGAGUACGCACGCCGGGGUGGCGGGACUUCGGCAAGACCAACUUUCCGAAUCUUCUCGAUUCCCAGCCUGCGUUCUCUCGCCCGACUCUAAUUGUGUAAGUUUCACGAAGCAACAGCUUUGGGCUCCAGGAAAGCGCAGGAAAAUCAGAGAGGAAGGAAGCGCGCAGGUCGGCAUCGCCUCCAAAGACCACCCCCGCCGCCACAUUUGUCCCCCCUCAAAACAACAACAACAAAACCCUUAAGACGAAUAAGAAGCAAAUGUAGGUUCCCGCAGCUUCCGAAGCCUUUCAGAGGAAGCGGAGCCCGGCUCCCCCGCAGCCUCCUGGCCCCCACAGCACCGACUCCUCCUCCUCGGUUACUCUGUACGGUCUUGGAGAGGCUCUCUGAGGUUCCUCCUGCGGAGGUCAGUCUGAGACACCGGCCCAGUAUCUGUAACAGCAAGCCCUCCGACUGCAGAGGUGUCACACAAGGCGUGCCGAGCUUCAUAAGGGAAGGUGCAGCGGGCUCUGCUUGGCGCUGUGGUGGACAGUGGCUCACGGCGAGCGGGCGCGAACGCCGGACUGGCAGCUGCCCCGGCCCGCCUUGCCCUGUGUGAGCACUGGUCCCCACCCAGGCAUGCAGGGUGGAGUGAGCUGGGGGAAGUGGCAGGCUCCACACCGCCCUCUGAGCGCACUGAGCUGGGAUUUCGUUGAGAAAAUCGAGCAGAUAUGGAGGAAAGGGUCAGGGAGAAUAUGAAACGAGAACCUUUGCAGAUUCCCCGCCAGGGCUCUGAUGGUGCGGAUCGGUGAAUCUGAGGUGCACCCCUUUAAAAAAUCGACUGAGGUAAACACGAUCAAUAUGUAUAUAUUUAAAAGGUCGAAAGCAAAAGGCGCAUUACCUCCUCUCUUACCUGUUCUGCCUUUCUUGGCUCCCAACAGAGAUAUGAAACUUUUCUUUAAUUGUUUUAACGCAGUGCGGCCAGUUUUGAUGAAAGCGUACAUAUUUUAAGCUUGAGUCACAACAACAGAUUUAUUGUGAGGUGACAGCGUGUCAACAGCAUAUUUUCACAGAUGAGGGACAGGAUUAUCCAGUCGUGCCUAGAUUAAGGGCAAGCACCGGAAUGUGCGCCUGAGGUGCAGACAGGGACUCCUGCAUGCAGAACUCAGACUCCCCGUCACGUGACCACUGCCUAUUAAAAUAUUGUAAUACCUAAAUACUAUUGCAAAAACAAAAGUUGCUUUUCUUCUCUAUAAUUAAAUCUAAUUUGUUAAUUGUC
Long non-coding RNA from Mustela lutreola (European mink), 1460 nucleotides. RefSeq lists it as uncharacterized. The record is from RefSeq and is a predicted model, not a curated record. The transcript is spliced from 4 exons. NCBI's taxonomy places the organism in Eukaryota, Metazoa, Chordata, Mammalia, Carnivora, Mustelidae.